This 450-nucleotide ribosomal RNA is filed under the name uncultured bacterium. RNAcentral describes it as "partial 16S ribosomal RNA". It matches the Rfam family "Bacterial small subunit ribosomal RNA", at positions 330 to 794 of the family's 1533-position model. The record is from RNAcentral.
GCCAGACUCCUACGGGAGGCAGCAGUGGGGAAUAUUGCACAGUGGGGGAAACCCUGAUGCAGCGACGCCGCGUGAGCGAAGAAGUAUUUCGGUAUGUAAAGCUCUAUCAGCAGGGAAGAAAAAAAUGACGGUACCUGAGUAAGAAGCACCGGCUAAAUACGUGCCAGCAGCCGCGGUAAUACGUAUGGUGCAAGCGUUAUCCGGAUUUACUGGGUGUAAAGGGAGCGUAGGCGGCGCGUUAAGUCUGAUGUGAAAACCCGAGGCUCAACCACGGGAGUGCAUUGGAAACUGGCGGGCUGGAGUGCCGGAGAGGUAAGCGGAAUUCCUAGUGUAGCGGUGAAAUGCGUAGAUAUUAGGAGGAACACCAGUGGCGAAGGCGGCUUACUGGACGGCAACUGACGCUGAGGCUCGAAAGCGUGGGGAGCAAACAGGAUUAGAUACCCCUGUAAU